ACCCUCUACUGGCAGGUGAGUUUCUAUCCUUGGGUUUGCUCGAUGCUGAAUCCUACUCCCAACUGAAUGAAACUAACUGAUUAUACUGAACUGAUUUCUUAGUCCAUACUAGAAUUAACUGAACUGUUACUGAUUGUUCUAUUUAACUGAACUAAACAUGGAUGAAAUUUAUUGAGUUCUGAUGACUAGCGGAACACUACUGAAUUUUGUUAACUGACUAAAUGCAACUGAGUUCUGUUAGCUGAUUGAGUUUACUGAUGUUUGAACUGAAUACUAUACUAAAUUGUACAGAGAGAAUUUGUUGAAAUUAAAUCCCCAAUUGCAAACCCUCUUCUUGUUCUUGAUGAAUUUUGAGAGAAAUCAAACAUAUGUUGCUAAAUUAUGAUGAAUCUCGUCUUUGUGUGUAUAUAUAUAGAGGUGGGAAAGACUAAAAUACCCCUGGAGAAAGAGAGAAAGAUGAAACUGUCCUCUGUUGUUUUCAAGCUGAUAGGCUGAAGUAAAUUGAUCAUAAGUUUUUACUCCAAUGUUUAAAUUGGAUGAAACUAAUUGCAUUGGAAAGAAGACUCAAAGAUAUUUCUAUUGAUAUAUAGCAUCUCUUACAGUUCAUUAUAUGCAGGAAGUUAUGAUAGUUUGAAAUUGGCUGAAAUUUUUGACCUGAAAUACGCCCGGAAUGCGGGAGCAUUUCAAACCAGUGAGUUAGCCACUGAAAUGCGCCCGGAAUGUGUCCAAUACAUACUAGGGACUUUCCCCAUCGCAACUCAACUUGAAAAUCUAAAAACGGAGGUUGGGAAGGUUAUCAAAUAAAUCCCCGAAGUUAGGAGGUCUAAAAUGAGAGUAAGCGUUGAACUUGAACACUUAGCAAAAAAAAUUUCUAAGUGUUGGAAUCUCUCGUGGAGCUUUAUGAGAUGAAUUUGACAUGUGAUUUUUUUACGGGGUCUUACAAUAUCUCUCCCUUGAGAACAUUCGUCCUCGAAUGAGACUAAGUGAAAGGGGAAAAAAGACAACUGACGUGAGUACUGAGCAUAAACGACUGAAUAUGAUUUCAUGGCUAACAUGACUGACAAGCUAAAUAUAUCAUACUGAACAUGCAUAUCUGAUGCAUGCAUAACUGAUUUAUGAAUGAAGGACUGAGUGUUCUGAUGAACUAAGUUUUCUCAAAAUGAGAAUGCAUAUUUGAUGCACAACUGCUAAGCUGAGUCCAUGCAUAUCUGAUGCAUGAUUAUAUGACUGACGUGAUACGUGAAUACAUGACUGAAAGUAUUUAUAAGCUGACCACACGUAUCUGAUGUGUGGAUACAUGACUGAACUGACUUAUGAACAUACGACUGAAUAUGCAAUGGUAAUGGUACCAAGUUUCGUACUGAAAUCUGAACACGAGAAUGAGUAAGUUCAAGGAAGACUGUUACAUUGAACUGAAAAUACCGAUGAGUCUGAGAUUAAUCACUCAAUAUGCAUGAGCAAAAAUAUGAGAACAUAACUGAGUCUGGAACAUGAUACAUAAGUUGAACUGAAUCUGUAACGUGUGACAUGGACAGAGCAUCGUGGGCUAAACUGAGCCAUUAAGAACAUAGAUUACGACUAAAAUUUAGAGCUAGAGGGUCAGCUUAUAAGUAACCCUUCCUCCAGCUAGAUUCAUCUAGAGAAAAGAAAGUGGCAUGUUUAAAUCACAUAAGGUCGGGGGAUAUAGGGUAUCUCCCCCUUGGGUCCUUUGAAGAAUACUGACUUAGUUGAGAUACUAAGGAAAACUAAGGCGGUGUACAAGGCACUUACGAACAGAAUUGUGACUUAAUAGCUGGGAUUUGAAACUGAGACAUAAUGUAUGAACUUAGCUGAUUAUGAGUGCAUAAAUAUACUAACUUAUCUGAUUAACUGAAUAACUGGUAACUGAAUACUGGGUAUACAAGACUGAAUUGUACUUAGUCUGAAUAGCUAGACUGAGACCAUAGAGUAUUAUGCAUACGAGAAGGGACUGACUGACUAACAUGAGGUAGCUGAGCAUGGAUUUACCAAAAAGGUUUGAACUGAGGAUUACAUGAUGUGGUAUGAAUUUAUCUGAUCUGUAGGGGCAUAUCAUGAGUCAUGAAAGCUAAGUAUACUGUAAAGCAUGAUACAUGUACAUGAGUUAUGAGCUGAAUGACCUAAGUUUUGAGUUUUUUGUAUUUGUGAGACAUGAUUCAUGACACUGAGUGAUUUAGAUCUGACUCCCUAUGCUGGGAACUGAAAGCGCACACGAUUCUAUGGAAAACAUGUGGACAUAAGCCAUGUUCAUAGAAUUGAUUCAUACUGCUGGGUAAACUGAGAUCCUUUAUACUGGGAACUGAAACCGUACAUGAUUUAUAGAAAAGUGCAUGAUCGUAGUUCAUGACCAUAGAUUUGAUAUGUAAGACCUGAGUGGAUUUCGUGAUAGCUGAAAUACAAAUCUUUGUACUGAGAAGAGGAUGGGUUGGGAAUCGUCUUCGCUUACUGCUUUUCUAUACAUACUGGCACUACUACUGGAAUUUGAGAGUCUGACUUGGUCACUUGAUCUAUCAUCACAUACUUAUACUCUGUUCGACACCUGCCCAUCCUACUAAACACAUCAUCUACUUCUGUUUUCUCAUAUACUACUAAUAUCACAUCUAUACCUUCAUGCUUUAUUUCAAGUAAAUAAAAUUAAAUUCUAGGUUACACUAUUCAAGCCUCCUGAUUUACCUUGGUACAACUAUCCCAAUGAAUACAUAAUCUAAUCAGACUAGAUAAUACUAUCCCAACUCAUCUAAUGCUAAACUCUUGGGUCCAUGCUUAAAUUCUAGGUCUAUACUAUCAUAGGAUUCUGAGAAGGGAUCUAACGGCAUAUCAAAAAUUGGAUUUGAAUUUAAAAAGGAGUUCUCAUGAUCAUAAAUGAAAUCUAUACAACUUUGGAACAUGACUGAACUGAGGGGAUAUUGUCUGAGCAUGUGGAAAAUCCCAUAACUAUCUCCAGGGACUACAUGAGAAAGUCCUAUCUUUAGGACUUGAGCUUCACUAUUUCUGUUACCUUGAAAAUAAGGUAAGGUUGACAUUAGGGGAGCCUGAUGUGAAUCUACAUGGGUUCCUUAGAAAAACUUACUAUAGCACAAUCUUGAGACAUGAAAGAAGGGAAACUAUUCCUAAAACAUCUCAUAGCCUCCUGCACAUAAAUAUGGUGCACAACAUGCCCAUGUACAAGACUCUACUUGAUGUAGAUUUCAAACUUUCUAGGACACUAUUGAACCUUAGGCUCUGAUACCAAAUUUGGUACGCCCCAAUUUUCUGAACCGAAAUGCUACACGGUGCUCAUGACCCCGAAGGACCACAAGCUAACCCAUGACUAAUAUUUAUACCUGUAAACUGCAUAAUAUCUCAUAAAAUAUAUGGAAACAUAAACUGUAAGGCCAUAAGGUUCAAUACUGAUAUAUAUCUGAAAAACAUGGUAUAACAAUACCAAAAAGAAACAUAAAUACUGAAGUCUAAAUAUCUAAUCUGACAUCUAGUUCGAAAGCCUCUAACUGAACUGAAUAAGGAGUUGAAGGAACAUGUAUCCAACUAACUCCAUGAACUAAAAAACUAAUCUGAAAUACUGUAAUAAAGUAAUAAUAAUAUUAUCCUUGAAUGAAGAGGAGCACUGACUACUGAAAUUUACAAUGCUACUGCUGCUCUGAACCUCGUGCCUCUGUACCUAUGGUGUCAAAUAAAACACCAUAGCACGAAUGCAUCAGUACGACUGAAUGUACUAAGUAUACGAGUGAGGUAGGCUAAAUGCAAAGGGUUUUAUAUGCAUGAACAAUGCUAACUGAUAUGAAUGUGAGAAUACAUACAUACAUACGUAACCACAACUAAACUCGUAGUGAUACUAACUAGCUGAGUCUGAAUACUGACAACAUAAGUUUGCUGAUGCUAAGAUACUGAAUGACUGAGUUUACUGAUAUUGAGAUACUGAAUGACUAAGUUUACUGAUAUUGAUAUGUAAUCCACUAAUAAGUGAGGAACUGAUACUGUAUUAUUGAAUACUGGGAGACUGAUACUAUAUUACUGAUAAAGGAAUGAUUGUUUCUGAUAGUUCUGAUUAUGAAGAAUUGAUUUGAUUGACCGUAUAUAACAGUCCUAAAACUGAGCUCAUGAUAACAUGACUACUGAAUAUGAAUACUGAUGACAUGUAUUUACUGAUAACAUAUCAUGAAUGAUAAUUGAAUUCUAAUAAUUGAUAUAUCUGAUAACAUGAGUUCUGAUAAUUGAUAGCAUAAAUGACUGUAUCUGACAGUCCUAAAUCUGAUGGAACUAGCUGAGUUUCGUACUGUAUCUGAGUUGACUGUAUCUGACAGUCCUGAUAUCCUGAAGAACUAUCUAAAUUCUUUUACUGAGACUGAUACUGAAACUGUAGGAAGUAGUUAUCUAACUGACAUGCCCCAAAUACGCUAUAAUAACUAAGUUAGCAUCUAAUCUCUGCCCUGAUUAAAAGGGUGUCAAUACUAUGCCACUGGUAAGGACAAGUUGUGAGUGACCCUCAUCUAUCAGGUACUCUAAUGAGAACGGUGGGAACCCUAUCUGACAGGUUAAUCUACCUUAUCUACCCUCAGCUAAUAGGUAUUGAAGUCUCAACCUAUGUUGGCUACAUAGUUCUAGAACACAAGGACUGCUUCUAAGAAUCACACCCUUUACUGGCAGGUGAGUUCCUAUCCUUGGGUUCGCUCGGUGCUGAAUCGUACUCCCAACUGAAUGACACUGAACUGAUUAUACUGAACUGAUUUCCUAGUUCAUACUAGAAUUAACUGAAUUGUUACUGAUUGUUCUGUUUAACUGAACUGAACAUGGACUGAGUUUAUUGAGUUCUGAUGACUAGCGGAACACUAUUCAAUUCUGUUAACUGACUAAAUGCUACUGAGUU
This 4882-nucleotide long non-coding RNA is filed under the name Capsicum annuum. Its description in RNAcentral is "long non-coding RNA (CANN_LNC018138)". The record is from RNAcentral. Lineage: Eukaryota; Viridiplantae; Streptophyta; Magnoliopsida; Solanales; Solanaceae.